GCUAAUGCAAAAAAUGUCAGU
RNAcentral lists this microRNA (21 nucleotides) under Nematostella vectensis (starlet sea anemone). RNAcentral describes it as "nve-miR-2034-3p". Lineage: Eukaryota; Metazoa; Cnidaria; Anthozoa; Actiniaria; Edwardsiidae. The record is from miRBase by way of RNAcentral.